Molecule: long non-coding RNA, 3273 nt
Filed under: Triticum aestivum (bread wheat)
Lineage: Eukaryota; Viridiplantae; Streptophyta; Magnoliopsida; Poales; Poaceae
Description: long non-coding RNA (TAES_LNC023610)
Source: RNAcentral
UUCGCACCCACGCCUAGCGAUCGAAGCCGCCGCAAGUCACCGCCGCUAGCCUGGAGGCCUCAUGCCGCCACCGCUCGCCCCUUUCUCUGUAGGUCACCCACGCACCUGGGACCCGGGGCCGUUUCCUCCUCCCCACCAGGCUCGAGGAGGCCCGAGGAGGUGACCAUGAGGAGCGCGCAGCCGCCGGAGCCAUGGGUAGAUCCAGCCGGGACCGUCGGCAACCAUCCCUCCUUCCGGCGGCGAUGAAGAAUUGAAGAGGCUUGAGGAGAAUGGGCGCAUGGGCCGUGCGCGUCUCCCGCGCUAGGAGCCACCGGUCCUCGUCAUCUGCUAGGAUCCACGAGGAAUCGAUCCAUAUGUAAGCUAGCUUCCACCAUAAUCCAUCCAGCAGGCUGUUUGCUUGUUUGUUUACUAGUGGAAAGACAUGAUGCGAGGCCGGCGUCGUGGGUACAUGCCCGCUGCUAAUUGAUUCUCCUGCUAAUAAUAGUAGUAUGUGUUCUUGCCCGUGGUGGAGAUGUACAUACCUGAAUACUCGUCACAUAUCCGCACAUACUCGAAUACUCUCAAACUGGCACGUAUACAUAUAUACAUACCCGAGUACCUGUGCAUUUUUUUAAUUCAGCUAAACAGGUCUACAGAGUGUCAAUCUUGGCAAAGGCUUGCUUUGCUCCUUUGCCUAGUGUUGCACUCGGCAAACUCCGACCCGUUAGAUUGGUUAGUAGAGAUUGUGAAGAGCAACACGAACAUCUACUCUGACAGGGAAUGUAGGUGUAAUACAUAGUGGUUUUCAUGGUAAAGGUUCUAGUAGAUGUAUGGUCAUUUUAGUGUAGUAUAUCCCAAUAAUCACUAUGAAAAUACAGCAGAAGCUCGUCUGUUCAUUUCCAGUUUAAUUAUUGUAUUUCUCAUAUCUCAAUCUCAUCUGCGAGUUUGAUAUAAUCAAAUGGGUGAUAGCAUCACCUUGUACUAAGUACCCAUCCUGGUUACUUUUUUUUAUUUAGGUAAAUGUAAGAUACCAUCAUCUUUUACCAAGUAUUCAUCCUGGUUACAUUAUGUGCAAAAUAGGUUCUACAUUUAAUUACAAAUUUGUUGAAUAUGUGGUUUUACCGCGUGCUUAUAGCCUGUACCUUUUGGUUGUACAUCUAUUUCUGUCUCAAGUUAUUUAUCUCUUACAGAAUGUUUGCGAGGAGCUCGGUUAGUGUUGAUGCCUCAAGGGUUUAUGCAUGUCAGUUCCAUGUUGCUUAAAGCCACUGUAACCAUGGCUACUGGUUUUCAUGUAUAUGUUUAUGCAGUCAUAACACGCUUGUUGACAACUCGUAUGGAAUGUUUAUAUUAUUUAUAAAUUUUCCAUGGAAUGUCUACUGUUAAAAAACAUCUUGCGGGUACUUUAGUUAGGUACUAGAAAGCACAUACAUACGCACAUGCCCAGCACAACCACAAGCACACAAUACAUCACAACACAUAUGUUCCACACAUACAUCACAACACAUAUGUGCUGCUUUUGACUUCUCAAUGGUAUGAUGAUGCUUUGCUCUGCCACUCUAAUUUUUUUGCAUUGGGGCACUUUGCAUGUGCUUGCUCCUGUGUAGUUGUUCUGCUCUGUUCACAUAAUGUCCAGAUACAACAAGUUAAUCUUGAUUCGUACAAGAGCUAAGUAGAGUUGUCUCAACUCUUUUUUUUAGGUUGUUUACCACACGUUUGCCACGUGGUGAUUGUUGAAACUCUAAAUACAAAUAGCGCAACAGUUUACUGCUAUGUAGUAUUAAAUGGGAUUAUGUAGGCAAAUGCACGGAUCACAGAAGAUCCCAUUGACCAGUGAAAAGUAAAUAACCUUUUUGACUAUUGCUCCCUUUGCUUCAGCGGUUCAGCCACAUCCCUGCGGCUUCUCCUCUCUCUCUCUCUCUCUCUCUCUCUCUCUCUCUCUCCCUCUCUCUCUCUCUCUCACUAUUCUGCACUUCAAACACAACGAUGUAGGAUGAGGCAAAGUACGCAGGUAACAUGAAAAAUACAUGAAAACAAGGCAAAUUUUGGUGUUGUAAUUUAUAGAUACCUCUUGGUUACUUUGUUUCAAAAUAAAUAAUUAAAUUUUGGCUGGCAUUUUCACCAAUGUAGCACCCAAAAAAAUCAUCUUUGAUGGAUUGAAUACGACAGAAGUUCUAUGCAGUUCGAUUGGUAAUUGUUCGUUCGUUGUCAUAUAAUUCAACAUUUUGCUCUCGGGCUAUCUAUGUGAUAUGUCUAUGUUAUCAACUCUUUAUUAGUAAAAAUAGUACCUAUUUUGCCAUAUCCAUGGUCAAUUCCUAUAUUUUUCCUUGGAAAAAUUCCUACAUAUUCCAUAGACCAUGUUGCAUUUUAGAAUUUCGUUCAAUGUUCGGCCCCCCUUAUGUAUAAUUCCUGGCUCCGCCGUUGCGCCUAACACAUGCGUGCAGGUGUGGGCAUCCCUUUAUUAGUCCCACUUGCAGUCUGAAUGUGUAUCCCUAAGAAAGUGAAUGGUCAUGAUAGUCUUCCUGAACUAUGACUAUGUGUAUCCAUUGAAGUAAUGUUCAUGCAAAUACUAUAAUUAUCGUUGUUGAAUAAUAAUAUUGAUCAUAAUAUAGGUCGCAUCCAAAGUAGUUUUAAAGACUUUAACAUAUCCAAACCAGCGAAAUGUUGCAUAUGCUACUAUUCAGAGUAUUGAUCUAGAAACUAAGGUUGGUGAUAUUUAGUUAGGUGCCGAAUUUGCACUUGUGUGCAUAGAUGAACCUAUUCUGGAUAAUGAGGAGUUAGUAAGGUAAGUUUCUAAUUGCAAGAGAAUUGGUGAUGCUUUUGCUUCAGGAUACUUAAUUGUCCAACCUCUAGCUUUUGUAAGUCGGAGUCUUUUCUUCCAUAUUCCACAAUUAUAUUUGUGUGCAUUUAAUCACAUAACUGCAAGGUCCAUUUUCCUUUUACAGAUUCAAAAGAAGCAUAAUGGAGUUGCAGCUGAACCGUUCUUCUGUUGGAUGAAGAAGCAAAUGUAAUUAGAAGAUUUUACUUAGCAAUAAUUGUAGUUUGCAUUGAUAGAUUGAAAAAUGUAACACCAUUCAGAAGAUCUUUUUCUUUGGUCGAAUUGAUGCAAAUGCUAUGGUGUAAUAUUCUCCAUAGAUGUGUUCUCUAUAGUAAAAUAUAUAUGAAUGAUAUGCUGUCUAGCCAAUAACAUUGGUAUGUAUUUAUUGUAAUGCAUAUGUAUCCUACACUCGUAUAUUCAUAAUAAAUACCUUGAUAUUUUCAAUUUAUGUAUGUUGUGCUUCAAUUUCUCUAUCAUUU